Molecule: ribosomal RNA, 447 nt
Filed under: uncultured bacterium
Lineage: Bacteria
Description: partial 16S ribosomal RNA
Rfam family: Bacterial small subunit ribosomal RNA
Source: RNAcentral
GACCAGACUCCUACGGGAGGCAGCAGUGGGGAAUAUUGCACAAUGGGGGAAACCCUGAUGCAGCGACGCCGCGUGGGUGAAGAAGUAUUUCGGUAUGUAAAGCCCUAUCGGCAGGGAAGAAGCAAGACGGUACCUGACUAAGAAGCCCCGGCUAACUACGUGCCAGCAGCCGCGGUAAUACGUAGGGGGCGAGCGUUAUCCGGAUUCACUGGGUGUAAAGGGAGCGUAGACGGCCAAGCAAGCCAGGGGUGAAAGCCCGGGGCCCAACCCCGGGACUGCCCUUGGAACUGCUUGGCUAGAGUGCAGGAGAGGCAGGCGGAAUUCCUAGUGUAGCGGUGAAAUGCGUAGAUAUUAGGAGGAACACCGGUGGCGAAGGCGGCCUGCUGGACUGUAACUGACGUUGAGGCUCGAAAGCGUGGGGAGCAAACAGGAUUAGAUACCCGAGUA